GGGGGAGGGAGGGGGGUAAAAAUCCGCCAAAAUCCCACCACGUAGUAUGUGAACGGUCCCGUUUUUUAUUAUGUUUUUUUUUGUUUUCCGAAAUCUUGAAUGACACAUAUCUCGAAUAUGAAUUCUGAUUAUCAUAAUAUUUCACAUUUGUGAAGUAUUUUUGUUUCGCAACAUCAUACAAUGUUCGCAUGUUCGCAUCAUUCGUCAUUUCGUCUGCUGUGACGUGGUUUGGUCUGAUCUGGUCUGUUAGUAUGGUUUCUUACAACAACAACUGGGAAGAGUAAUGUAGCAAGAAAGUAAAAAGUGAUAAAAUUGCAGUUUGAAUCUGGUGCAGACAUGGACACAUGAAGAUCCUCAAGUUUAAAUUUAAUAACUAGAAAGAGCUUGUGGGAUACAGGCUAAAGAUGAAAUACAAGAUUGGUGUUGACCAAAGCAAUCAGCAGUAUAUAAUGUGAUUCAAGAGAAUUGAUCGUAACAUGAUGUAUCCAAACCAACCAAAGUUUUAACUAGACAGCUUUAGACAAGUUCGUCUUCAUUGAAAGUCAAAUCAAGCUUCCACAAAUUGCAGCUCAUGGACAUUGUGUUGACUCCACCCAAGUUGUAAAAUCAGAAAAAGAAUUUCUCAUUCUCAUGUAGUGGCAAUAGUCGAAGAAAAGUUGUCCAAAGAUCUAAAUGACACAGAACUUUACACUUGUAAUUUCAAGCAACUGUUGGACUUCGGUAACCAAGUAUGAAAAGGAUUUCAAUAGAUUUGAAUAAAGAAAAUUCAAAACGUUUGAGAAAAAGCUGUUACACGAAAAAUCCAAUGGGUCAUUAAUGGAGUAGAGAUCUCAUUCAUUGGUGCCUACCGUGACUUAUUGGUCUAGCUCUACGACGGUAGAAGAAAAAUGCUGCUGAUGUGGGACGUUGAUAAUGUUGCACUCAUCCCCUGACGGCGGAAGAACAAGAGAUCCAGGUCCUCUAUUUAUUGGCAUCACGCAUCACCCGAUUGAUUUCACGUCACACGAGUCGACACUAAUUGCUGGAUUAGAUUGACGACUCGUUUUUUAUCAAAAAAUGGACGACAACGCAAACGGACCUCAGCCUUCCAUUAAUCCCUGCUGAAAGAUGAAACUUUCUUCUGGACCUACGUUAGAAGAAUAUUUGCAGAUCGAUUGCCCCUACCAUGUUAUAGGAUACCAUGGCCCUUCACUAGAACUCGCCCGAAAAAAAACUGGCCGACUUUGACGAGUCUUUCGCGAAAAUCGAUAGUUUGGCAGCCAUCUUCGCUUCCGCCCGAAUUACAAGAAGUCAUCCAGUUCGAUUUUCUUGAACUACAGGAGAAAAACUGAAGGUUGUCCGAUCCACUUAUCAUAAGCAAAGUGCGAAAUUAUUCACACUCACAUUUCCUAAUCUGAAAUUAGAAACAGAACAAAGCAUUAAUCAGUGCAAAUCAUUCAAAAUGGUGUCCGUCUGGCAUUGGUUCCUGUGAUGAUGAUGACAAUUACCAUUCUCGGCUUUUUGAUAACAAAACAUUGGGCUAAUGAUUCAUCUUGCACUCUUGACUAAAUGUUUUCAGAUAACUGCAGCUGAAGUUUGUGUGCCCUGAGUGCUCUGGACAAAAACGAUGGAUGGCUCAGUCCAAUAAUGCUAGCUGUGUAUUUCUUAACCAUGGAAUUUCUAUUUGCAAGACCCCGGGUGGCACUUCGUGAGUGGGACUAAAUUCCGCCAUUUGUUUCUCAGACACUGAGUGAAAAUGUAUUCCAAAUGCAUUACGGAUUUACGGGCGUCGUUCUUCAUUUUCAGUCAAGAGAUUAUAAAGGGAGGAGAUCCCUUUGCUUUACUAUCGAAGAAUUUGAGAACACGCAAAAUCUGAACUUCAUUGCUGUCUUUCGUGCUAAUGGUUUUGUUGCAACCAACUGGUGAAAGGUGUGAUCAAGUUGAGCUGCAGCUGCUGCAUCUUGUUAUCUACCUACAUUCAUAGUGUCAUAGUCAUCUACCUAUCAGUCUAUAGUGUUAUCCUGAAGUGUGGAAGCAUAACCCAACUGCAAUUGGACAAAGACUUAUUGUAAUGAGUCUGUCGCAAGGUGUUUUGCAACUGUAUGAUGCUGUUCAAUAUGCAGUGGUUUUUGCAGCCAUUUCCAGUUCAAGCUGUUGCAUGCUGUCUGUUGUGCUGGUGUUAUCCUGAAAAUGUGUUGUUUGUCAAUAUCUAUGUGUGUAAUGCCUGUGGGACGUAUCGAGAUGAUUGGACGCGACUGAAGAAGUUCGUGAUGUAGAGUAGACAAGUGCAUAAUCUGGGCUCCCUUCUUUUCUGUGGCCCCGUUUCCCUAACUAACCACUAACCAACGCCCGCCGGUGGUCACUCACCCGCUGUGAAACCAGGAG
Long non-coding RNA from Daphnia pulex (common water flea), 2364 nucleotides. RefSeq lists it as uncharacterized. NCBI's taxonomy places the organism in Eukaryota, Metazoa, Arthropoda, Branchiopoda, Diplostraca, Daphniidae. The transcript has 11 exons. The record is from RefSeq and is a predicted model, not a curated record.